RNAcentral lists this ribosomal RNA (253 nucleotides) under uncultured bacterium. RNAcentral describes it as "partial 16S ribosomal RNA". It matches the Rfam family "Bacterial small subunit ribosomal RNA", at positions 524 to 776 of the family's 1533-position model. The record is from RNAcentral.
UACAGAGGGGGCAAGCGUUGUUCGGAAUUACUGGGCGUAAAGGGCGCGUAGGCGGCCUGUUAAGUCGAACGUGAAAUCCCCGGGCUCAACCCGGGAACUGCGUCCGAUACUGGCAGGCUUGAAUCCGGGAGAGGGAUGCGGAAUUCCAGGUGUAGCGGUGAAAUGCGUAGAUAUCUGGAGGAACACCGGUGGUGAAGGCGGCAUCCUGGACCGGCAUUGACGCUGAGGCGCGAAAGCCAGGGGAGCAAACGGG